This 92-nucleotide transfer RNA is filed under the name Cellulomonas oligotrophica. Its description in RNAcentral is "tRNA-Arg". The record is from RNAcentral. Lineage: Bacteria; Bacillati; Actinomycetota; Actinomycetes; Micrococcales; Cellulomonadaceae.
CGGUCGUAGGCGAUGACGGGGAUCCCGGCGGCCUCCGCGGCCUCGAGCUGCUCGCCCAGCGAGGUGCCGUCGAUCGCGGCCACGACGAUCGC